This 934-nucleotide ribosomal RNA is filed under the name uncultured bacterium. Its description in RNAcentral is "bacterial SSU rRNA". It matches the Rfam family "Bacterial small subunit ribosomal RNA", at positions 10 to 887 of the family's 1533-position model. The record is from RNAcentral.
AGUUUGAUCCUGGCUCAGAGUGAACGCUGGCGGCGUGGAUUAGGCAUGCAAGUCGAGCGAUUUUGAUUGAUGAAGUGAGGUGAGACCUUCGGGUCGAUCUUCGCCGAUUCGAUCGCGAUAGCGGCAAACGGGUGAGUAACGCGUGGGUAACGUACCUUGCGGAGAGGGAUAGCUUCGUGAAAACGGAGGUAAUACCUCAUGGACCCUUGGCACUGCGGUGCCGUAGGGUAAAGGUGGCGACUGCUUCGGCAAGCUACCACCGUAAGAGCGGCCCGCGACCUAUCAGGUAGUUGGCAGGGUAACGGCCUACCAAGCCUAAGACGGGUAGCUAGCCUAAGAGGGUGGUUAGCCACACCGGGACUGAGACACUGCCCGGACUCCUACGGGAGGCUGCAGUCGAGAAUCUUUUCCAAUGGACGAAAGUCUGAGAAUGCGACGCCGCGUGGGGGAUGAAGGUUUUCGGAUUGUAAACCCCUUUUAUCAGGGAGGAAUUACUUGGCGUGAAUAAUGUCAAGGGUUGACUGUACCUGAUGAAUAAGCCACGGCUAAUUCCGUGCCAGCAGCCGCGGUAAUACGGAAGUGGCGAGCGUUACUCGGUUUGACUGGGUGUAAAGGGUCCGCAGGCGGCCAGGUAAGUGAAAGGUGAAAUCUCUCGGCUUAACCGAGAAACUGCCUUUCAAACUGUCUGGCUUGAGGCUGGGAGAGGAGAGCAGAACUGUCAGUGUAAGGGUGAAAUCUGUGGAUAUUGACAGGAAUGCCCGUGGGGAAGCCGGCUCUCUGGUCCAGUCCUGACGCUCAGGGACGAAAGCUAGGGGAGCAAACAGGAUUAGAUACCCUGGUAGUCCUAGCUGUAAACGAUGGGCACUAGGUGUCUGUCCUUUAAGGAUGGGUGCCGCAGCUAACACAUUAAGUGCCCCACCUGGAGCACCCGCCC